RNAcentral lists this ribosomal RNA (433 nucleotides) under uncultured bacterium. RNAcentral describes it as "partial 16S ribosomal RNA". It matches the Rfam family "Bacterial small subunit ribosomal RNA", at positions 29 to 507 of the family's 1533-position model. The record is from RNAcentral.
AACGAACGCUGGCGGCAUGCCUAACACAUGCAAGUCGAACGAGACCUUCGGGUCUAGUGGCGCACGGGUGCGUAACGCGUGGGAACCUGCCUUUAGGUUCGGAAUAACUCAGAGAAAUUUGAGCUAAUACCGGAUGAUGUCUUCUGACCAAAGAUUUAUCGCCUUUGGAUGGGCCCGCGUUGGAUUAGCUUGUUGGUGGGGUAAAGGCCUACCAAGGCGACGAUCCAUAGCUGGUUUGAGAGGAUGAUCAGCCACACUGGGACUGAGACACGGCCCAGACUCCUACGGGAGGGAGCAGUGGGGAAUAUUGGACAGUGGGCGAAAGCAUGAUCCAGCAAUGCCGCGUGAGUGAUGAAGGCCUUAGGGUUGUAAAGCUCUUUUACCCGAGAUGGUAAUGACAGUAUCGGGAGAAUAAGCUCCGGCUAACUCCGUG